GUGGUUCAAGUCCCUUUAUCCCCA
This 24-nucleotide transfer RNA is filed under the name Lemaireocereus hollianus. RNAcentral describes it as "partial tRNA-Leu". The record is from RNAcentral. Lineage: Eukaryota; Viridiplantae; Streptophyta; Magnoliopsida; Caryophyllales; Cactaceae.